Molecule: ribosomal RNA, 172 nt
Filed under: uncultured eukaryote
Lineage: Eukaryota
Description: partial small subunit ribosomal RNA
Rfam family: Eukaryotic small subunit ribosomal RNA
Source: RNAcentral
GUACACACCGCCCGUCGCUGCUACCGAUUGGAUGAUCCGGUGAAAUCCUCGGACUGGAGUAAUUGUCUAGCAGCAAUGUUAGAUGUUGUUUUGGGAAGUUGAUUAAACCUUAUCAUCUAGAGGAAGCAAAAGUCGUAACAAGGUUUCCGUAGGUGAACCUGCAGAAGGAUCA